UGUUGACCUCGAAUCAGGUUGGAAUACCCGCUGAA
This 35-nucleotide ribosomal RNA is filed under the name Fusarium falciforme. RNAcentral's name for it is "partial 28S ribosomal RNA". The record is from RNAcentral. Lineage: Eukaryota; Fungi; Ascomycota; Sordariomycetes; Hypocreales; Nectriaceae.